This 326-nucleotide unclassified non-coding RNA is filed under the name Athalia rosae (coleseed sawfly). Its description in RNAcentral is "misc RNA ENSAEAG00005009674.1". Lineage: Eukaryota; Metazoa; Arthropoda; Insecta; Hymenoptera; Athaliidae. The record is from RNAcentral.
GAGCGCGUGGAGGAAGUAUGAGAACAUGUCGGUUUAGCAUUGGACGUUGUAACCGGAUACGGAAAUUCAUUUACGAUCACAUCGUGGAUCAUCGUAUACGAACUGUCACCAACACUAUAUUCUCCGCUAUAAUGUGAGCGGUGCAAGUACAACGCGAAGUCAACCGAUAUCCUAACGACCUUCAAGCCCCAUUCGUCACGAUCGUACUUAGUCGAACCGCAGGGGCCGGAAAAUGUAUUGCUAAAGCAGAAAGUAAUACCAGAAGCCUGCAAUAUGGGAUCAACUGGAUAACGUUUUGCUACACGUGACGCUGAACUGCAAUUGAA